UAACGAAUCUUCCGCAAUGGACGAAAGUCUGACGGAGCAAUGCCGCGUGCGGGAUGAAGCGCCUACGGCGUGUAAACCGCUGUCAGGGGACGGAACCAAUGAUUGUCCCCAGAGGAAGAGCCGGCUAACCCUGUGCCAGCAGCCGCGGUAAGACAGGGGGCUCAAGCGUUAAUCGGAAUCACUGGGCUUAAAGGGUGCGCAGGCGGUCCGUCAAGCAUUCUGUGAAAGCCCCCGGCUCAACCGGGGAACAGCAGAGUGGACUGGCGGACUUGAGGCAAGUAGGGGUGGACAGAACAGUGGGUGGAGCGGUGAAAUGCGUAGAUAUCCACUGGAAUGCCGAUGGUGAAGACGGUCCACUGGGCUUGUCCUGACGCUCAGGCACGAAAGCGUGGGGAGCAAACAGGAUUAGAUACCCGGGUAGUCC
Molecule: ribosomal RNA, 424 nt
Filed under: uncultured bacterium
Lineage: Bacteria
Description: bacterial SSU rRNA
Rfam family: Bacterial small subunit ribosomal RNA
Source: RNAcentral